AGAGUUUGAUCCUGGCUCAGAACGAACGCUGGCGGCGUGCCUAACACAUGCAAGUCGUACGAGAAAGCUCCCUUCGGGGAGUGAGUAGAGUGGCGCACGGGUGAGUAACGCGUGGGUAAUCUGCCCUCGAGCUUGGAAUAACCCUUCGAAAGGAGGGCUAAUACCGGAUAACAAUUCGAUCUCUUCGGAGGUUGAAUUCAAAGGUGGCCUCUGAUUUAAGCUACCACUUGAGGAGGAGCCCGCGUCCCAUUAGCUUGUUGGUGGGGUAAUGGCCUACCAAGGCUACUAUGGGUAGCCGGCCUGAGAGGGUGACCGGCCACACUGGAACUGAGACACGGUCCAGACCCCUACGGGAGGCAGCAGUGGGGAAUUUUGCGCAAUGGGCGAAAGCCUGACGCAGUGACGCCGCGUGGAUGAUGAAGGCCUUCGGGUCGUAAAAUCCUGUCAAGUGGGAAGAAAUGUGUGGUACCCAAUACGUACCAUGCUUGACGGUACCACUGGAGAAGCCCCGCUAACU
Molecule: ribosomal RNA, 517 nt
Filed under: uncultured bacterium
Lineage: Bacteria
Description: bacterial SSU rRNA
Rfam family: Bacterial small subunit ribosomal RNA
Source: RNAcentral